AUUGGACGCUGGCGGAAUGCUUUACACAUGCAAGUCGAACGGUAGAGGGGGCAACCCCUCGAGAGUGGCGAACGGGUGAGUAAUAUAUCGGAACGUGCCCAGUCGAGGGGGAUAACGUAGCGAAAGUUGCGCUAAUACAGCAUACGAUCUAAGGAUGAAAGUGGGGGAUCGCAAGACCUCGCGCGAUUCGAGCGGCCGAUACCAGAUUAGGUAGUUGGUGGGGUAAAGGCUCACCAAGCCAACGAUCUGUAGCUGGUCUGAGAGGACGACCAGCCACACUGGAACUGAGACACGGUCCAGACUCCUACGGGAGGCAGCAGUGGGGUAUUUUGAACAAUGGACGCAAGUCUGAUCCAGCCAUUCCGCGUGCAGGAUGAAGGCCCUCGGGUUGUAAGCUGCUUUUGUACGGAACGAAAAGGUCUCUCUUAAUACGGGGGACUCAUGACGGUACCGUAAGAAUAAGCACCGGCUAACUACGUGCCAGCCGCCGCAGUAA
RNAcentral lists this ribosomal RNA (496 nucleotides) under uncultured bacterium. RNAcentral describes it as "partial 16S ribosomal RNA". It matches the Rfam family "Bacterial small subunit ribosomal RNA", at positions 30 to 523 of the family's 1533-position model. The record is from RNAcentral.